AACGAACGCUGGCGGCAGGCCUAACACAUGCAAGUCGAGCGGACAUCUUCGGAUGUUAGCGGCGGACGGGUGAGUAACGCGGGGGAACGUGCCCUUUGCUUCGGAAUAGCCUCGGGAAACUGGGAGUAAUACCGGAUGUACCCUUUGGGGGAAAGAUUUAUCGGCAAAGGAUCGGCCCGCGUUGGAUUAGGUAGUUGGUGGGGUAAUGGCCUACCAAGCCGACGAUCCAUAGCCGGUCUGAGAGGGUGAUCAGCCACACGGGAACGGAGACACGGCGCAGGCUCCGACGGGAGGCAGCAGUAGGGAAUCUUCCGCAUGGGGCGAGAGCGUGACGGAGCAGCGGCGCGGGAGUGAAGAAGGUCUUCGGAUCGGAAAAAGCUGUUAUUAGGGAAGAACAAAGGUGCAAGUAACUAUGCACGUCUUGACGGUACCUAAUCAGAAAGCCACGGCUAACUACGUG
This 460-nucleotide ribosomal RNA is filed under the name uncultured bacterium. Its description in RNAcentral is "partial 16S ribosomal RNA". It matches the Rfam family "Bacterial small subunit ribosomal RNA", at positions 29 to 507 of the family's 1533-position model. The record is from RNAcentral.